RNAcentral lists this ribosomal RNA (105 nucleotides) under Sus scrofa (pig). The record is from RNAcentral. Lineage: Eukaryota; Metazoa; Chordata; Mammalia; Artiodactyla; Suidae.
GUCUAUGGCCAUACCACCCUGAACUUGCCCGAUCCUGUCUGAUCGUGAAGCUGAGCAGGGUCAGGCCUGGUUAGUACUUGGAUGGAAGAAAGCAGUGGUCAAACU